AAAAUGUACCGGGGCUAAACGUAUCACCGAAGCUGCGGACUGUUCUUCGAACAGUGGUAGGAGAGCGUUCUAAGGGCUGUGAAGCCAGACCGGAAGGACUGGUGGAGCGCUUAGAAGUGAGAAUGCCGGUAUGAGUAGCGAAAGAGGGGUGAGAAUCCCCUCCACCGAAUGCCUAAGGUUUCCUGAGGAAGGCUCGUCCGCUCAGGGUUAGUCGGGACCUAAGCCGAGGCCGAAAGGCGUAGGCGAUGGACAACAGGUUGAUAUUCCUGUACCACCUCCUCACCAUUUGAGCAAUGGGGGGACGCAGGAGGAUAGGGUAAGCGCGGUAUUGGAUAUCCGCGUCCAAGCAGUUAGGCUGGGAAAUAGGCAAAUCCGUUUCCCAUAAGGCUGAGCUGUGAUGGCGAGCGAAAUAUAGUAGCGAAGUUCCUGAUUCCACACUGCCAAGAAAAGCCUCUAGCGAGGUGAGAGGUGCCCGUACCGCAAACCGACACAGGUAGGCGAGGAGAGAAUCCUAAGG
Molecule: ribosomal RNA, 517 nt
Filed under: Staphylococcus epidermidis
Lineage: Bacteria; Bacillati; Bacillota; Bacilli; Caryophanales; Staphylococcaceae
Description: partial 23S ribosomal RNA
Rfam family: Bacterial large subunit ribosomal RNA
Source: RNAcentral